RNAcentral lists this ribosomal RNA (273 nucleotides) under uncultured bacterium. RNAcentral's name for it is "partial 16S ribosomal RNA". It matches the Rfam family "Bacterial small subunit ribosomal RNA", at positions 523 to 796 of the family's 1533-position model. The record is from RNAcentral.
AUACGGAGGGUGCAAGCGUUAUUCGGAAUCACUGGGCGUAAAGGACGCGUAGGCGGGUUGGCAAGUCAGAUGUGAAAUCCUACAGCUUAACUGUAGAACUGCAUUUGAAACUGCUAACCUAGAGUAUGGGAGGGGGAGAUGGAAUUAGUGGUGUAGGGGUAAAAUCCGUAGAUAUCACUAGGAAUACCGAAAGCGAAGGCGAUCUCCUGGAACAUAACUGACGCUAAGGCGUGAAAGCGUGGGGAGCAAACAGGAUUAGAAACCCAGUAGUCC